GCUUGCUAGCAGGCGUCGAGUGGCGGACGGGUGAGUAACGCGUAGGAAUCUGCCCAGUUGUGGGGGAUAGCCCAGGGAAACUUGGAUUAAUACCGCAUACGCCCUACGGGGGAAAGCGGGGGAUCUUCGGACCUCGCGCAAUUGGAUGAGCCUGCGUCAGAUUAGCUUGUUGGUGGGGUAAUGGCCUACCAAGGCGACGAUCUGUAGCUGGUCUGAGAGGAUGAUCAGCCACACUGGAACUGAGACACGGUCCAGACUCCUACGGGAGGCAGCAGUGGGGAAUAUUGGACAAUGGGCGCAAGCCUGAUCCAGCAAUACCGCGUGUGUGAAGAAGGCCUGAGGGUUGUAAAGCACUUUUAUGAGAGAAGAAAAGUUAAUGGUUAAUAGCCAUUAACCCUGACGGUAUCUCAAGAAUAAGCACCGGCUAACUCCGUGCCAGCAGCNGNCGGUAAUA
This 454-nucleotide ribosomal RNA is filed under the name uncultured bacterium. RNAcentral's name for it is "bacterial SSU rRNA". It matches the Rfam family "Bacterial small subunit ribosomal RNA", at positions 76 to 525 of the family's 1533-position model. The record is from RNAcentral.